Molecule: unclassified non-coding RNA, 364 nt
Filed under: Hevea brasiliensis (rubber tree)
Lineage: Eukaryota; Viridiplantae; Streptophyta; Magnoliopsida; Malpighiales; Euphorbiaceae
Source: RNAcentral
GAUAUGUAUUCCCAAUGCUGUAUAUAUAAAAAUAAAUGCAUUUAGUUAAACAAAAUAUGAAUAUAAUAUGUUUGUAACCUUGACAUAUAAAGAUUUUAUUAUCUACCUGGUCUUAUUAUGACAAUUGCUGCUAUUAUGACCAUGAUCUUGCCUGUAUUUAGAUAGCUUAUAUUUUCUGUUGUAAAAUUAGUACUCAUUUACCACCAAUCAAAAAGUUCAAUGGCGCGUUAAAACACAACUUCAUUCAGGGGGCUCAAUAACAAAACUUGCAAGUUUAAGGGCUCUGUAGUGGCUCAUUCCCAUUUAAAUUGAUGGAGCAACCAAAGUGGAGCUGCAUUUAUCUACAUGUAGCACUUAUUCUGAC